Molecule: ribosomal RNA, 497 nt
Filed under: uncultured bacterium
Lineage: Bacteria
Description: partial 16S ribosomal RNA
Rfam family: Bacterial small subunit ribosomal RNA
Source: RNAcentral
GAUGAACGCUGGCGGCGUGCCUAAUACAUGCAAGUCGAGCGAACAGACGAGGAGCUUGCUCCUCUGACGUUAGCGGCGGACGGGUGAGUAACACGUGGAUAACCUACCUAUAAGACUGGGAUAACUUCGGGAAACCGGAGCUAAUACCGGAUAAUAUAUUGAACCGCAUGGUUCAAUAGUGAAAGACGGUUUUGCUGUCACUAAUAGAUGGAUCCGCGCCGCAUUAGCUAGUUGGUAAGGUAACAGCUUACCAAGGCAACGAUGCGUAGCCGACCUGAGAGGGUGAUCGGCCACACUGGAACUGAGACACGGUCCAGACUCCUACGGGAGGCAGCAGUAGGGAAUCUUCCGCAAUGGGCGAAAGCCUGACGGAGCAACGCCGCGUGAGUGAUGAAGGUCUUCGGAUCGUAAAACUCUGUUAUUAGGGAAGAACAAAUGUGUAAGUAACUAUGCACGUCUUGACGGUACCUAAUCAGAAAGCCACGGCUAACUACGUG